Molecule: ribosomal RNA, 141 nt
Filed under: uncultured bacterium
Lineage: Bacteria
Description: partial 16S rRNA
Rfam family: Bacterial small subunit ribosomal RNA
Source: RNAcentral
UGGGGAAUUUUCCGCAAUGGGCGAAAGCCUGACGGAGCAAUGCCGCGUGGAGGUGGAAGGCCUACGGGUCGUCAACUUCUUUUCUCGGAGAAGAAACAAUGACGGUAUCUGAGGAAUAAGCAUCGGCUAACUCUGCGCCAG